This is a long non-coding RNA of Dioscorea cayenensis subsp. rotundata (Guinea yam), 160 nucleotides long. RefSeq lists it as uncharacterized. Lineage: Eukaryota; Viridiplantae; Streptophyta; Magnoliopsida; Dioscoreales; Dioscoreaceae. The transcript has 2 exons. The record is from RefSeq and is a predicted model, not a curated record.
AGAGCCAUGGAACUCGCAACCAUACAACAAGAGCCACACAGCCUUAUUCUUACAUAUCGACAACCCCCUAUAUACUGUAAACAGCCAUUAUGGGUUAAUGAAGGGCUGAAGAGAAAUGCAGGAAAAUCCAGCAUCUUGCCACUACCACGCCUAACCAAAA